CCUACGGGAGGCUGCAGUGGGGAAUAUUGCACAAUGGGGGAAACCCUGAUGCAGCGACGCCGCGUGAGUGAAGAAGCAUCUCGGUACGUAAAGCUCUAUCAGCAGGGAAGAAAAUGACGGUACCUGACUAAGAAGCCCCGGCUAACUACGUGCCAGCAGCCGCGGUAAUACGUAGGGGGCAAGCGUUAUCCGGAUUUAUUGGGUGUAAAGGGUGCGUAGGCGGGAGCAUAAGUCUGGGGGGAAAUCUCGGGGCUUAACCCCGGAACUGCCUUGGAACCUGUGCGCCUGGAGUGCGGGAGGGGAAGGCGGAAUGCGUAGUGUAGCGGUGAAAUGCGUAGAUAUUAGGAGGAACCCCGAUUGCGAAGGCAGCUUUCUGG
Molecule: ribosomal RNA, 377 nt
Filed under: uncultured bacterium
Lineage: Bacteria
Description: partial 16S ribosomal RNA
Rfam family: Bacterial small subunit ribosomal RNA
Source: RNAcentral